This is a non-coding RNA of Pelobates cultripes (western spadefoot toad), 238 nucleotides long. Lineage: Eukaryota; Metazoa; Chordata; Amphibia; Anura; Pelobatidae. The record is from the annotation of a GenBank genome assembly.
GUUUGAAUGUGUGUGACGGCCGGAGUGUGUGUUUUCCCCCUUUUUAAAAGACAAUAGCUUGACUGCCUAGCGGGCAGGGAACGCAUUACAGCCGGUGGGGCUGGGAUUUUAAGUUUGCUUGACUGCCUAGCGGGCAGGGAACGCAUUACAGCCGGUGGGGCUGGGAUUUUACAGCCGGUGGGGCUGGGAUUUUAAGAUAGCUUGACUGCCUAGCGGGCAGGGAACGCAUUACAGCCGG